Molecule: ribosomal RNA, 460 nt
Filed under: uncultured bacterium
Lineage: Bacteria
Description: partial 16S ribosomal RNA
Rfam family: Bacterial small subunit ribosomal RNA
Source: RNAcentral
CCUACGGGUGGCAGCAGUGAGGAAUAUUGGUCAAUGGGCGUAAGCCUGAACCAGCCAAGUCGCGUGAGGGAUGAAGGUUCUAUGGAUCGUAAACCUCUUUUAUAAGGGCAUAAAGUGUGGGACGUGUCCUGUUUUGUAUGUACCUUAUGAAUAAGGAUCGGCUAACUCCGUGCCAGCAGCCGCGGUAAUACGGAGGAUCCGAGCGUUAUCCGGAUUUAUUGGGUUUAAAGGGUGCGUAGGCGGCCUUUUAAGUCAGCGGUGAAAGUCUGUGGCGCAACCAUAGAAUUGCCGUUGAAACUGGGAGGCUUGAGUAGGUUUGAGGCAGGCGGAAUGCGUGGUGUAGCGGUGAAAGGCUUAGAUAGCACGCAGAACCCCGAUUGCGAAGGCAGCCUGCCAAGCCAUGACUGACGCUGAUGCACGAAAGCGUGGGGAUCAAACAGGAUUAGAUACCCGUGUAGUC